ACAAGCACAAACAAACAAACAAAAAAAAGAGAGAGAACAGAUUAAAAACAGGAACUGUUUUUUUUUUUCAUGUAUAAGAAACUAAUCACUAUUUUUAUGGCGCAGAUGUCUCAGUUCUGUUAGUGAGCAUUCGGGAGACAGCGACAUAAACGAACGUACAGUGACACUGCUCAGACACCAACCAGCCCUCUCAUUUCUUUUUUUAAGAUGAGACCAUUUUAAGAUGUGUGAAACAGCGCCCCUCUAAAUGUUAAGUGGGCAAUGAGCGUUGGAAACAUGCUACUGCAGGCUGGACUGGCUUCCCUUGGUGGAAACAAGGUAUGAUUAACCAAUCAGGUGAGGCUAUUAUCGUGACACUGCUCUCCUGUGAUUAGUCAGGACAGUGUCAAGGGAAGCGGCGAACUCGAAUAGCAGUGUGGCAUUAACGUCAUUGUCGUUAUUAGUUAUAAGACUUGAUUUGUUUCGGUAACUUGGAAGGCUAGAAAAAUAAGAAAAAAGAAAAUUAAUUUACUAAACUACCGCCACAGCAACUCCAAAUUACGUCAGACGAGAGGCAAACACCAAAACUAGAGCUCCGUACUAAGAGGAAGAACCGUUUCAAUGAGGAGAAUUACGUCCGAGUGGCUAGCUGGUAGCUCGAAACUUCUGGGGCUAUUUUCUCGCACUGUCUCCAUUUUGACAAGGGUCCCUGCUCUCUAAACAACACCUAGGCUACCAGCACAUUAUUCACCGAACUUCCAACCUGCCUCGGCCAACUGAAAAGCCCGGGAAAUCAAAAAAGCACAUUGACUGCUGUGAAACGGAAGUUGGCCAAGAUAUCCAUUGACUGUUGUUGUGGAGGACCCAAAGUCCAGUGGGAAGUUGUACGACAUGAUCCCUGUCAUAUUGACGGCCUUCCUCUUCAAAUAGGGCUUGGACCUAAGCGUGGAGGUGGUGUUGGGCAUGCAGACGUAGCCGCUGCCAUCCGAGACACUGCCCUCGACCUGAGCCCGUGCGAGAUCAGCGUCCAGCUGCUGGAACAGCUCACUCUCGCAGACGUAGAUGGGUUUCCCGCAGGUUGGGUCGACUCCACCGAAUGCAGUGAACCAUGACAAUGAUGAAGCCCUCCAGAGAGUCGAACACGGCGAAGAGGAUCUGGAAGAGCGCUGAGCGGCGGUCGGUGAUGGCCAGGACGGCAGACAUCCAGGUUCAGGCCUUGGUAUGGACAAAGCUGUGGUGCAGAGAGACAUCUGCUGACAAGAACUAGGAAUUGCAACAAUGAUUGUCUGCAACUCUUGAGUGGUGCAAAAGAAAAAAAGGAGCGGCUGCGAUCACGGUAGCCACGGCCACAGGUGGAGGAACACAGGCUCCAGGGGGUCCACUCAUCCCAGGCACCAUCAACUAUAAGUAAGUAAAGACAUUAACAAGUGUUAUAUUUUUUUUAUUUAUUUUUUUACUGUUUCAAGUUGCAUUUUGUCAUUUUUCCGCUAGGUGGUGCAAUCUUACAGCCAUCUGAAUCUGAUAACUAUGGUUGUUUUGAUGUGAGUGAAUUGCAGCCUCUUUUCAAAACCAUCCAAAGCAGUUUAAAAAAAAACAUUGACAACGCCAUGAAUUGCUGGAACAUUUUCUGCAUCUUUUUUUCAGGUGGAGGAGCAGCAGUGGUGGUGGGGGCUCACCAGGACAGACGACUGUGUUGUUGCAAGGCCGGUUCUCACGCAGGGGCCCGGUGCACUGGGUGGUAAAGGAGGAAGUAGCGCAGAGGCGAGUGCGACUCUGCCAGCCCUCACCGCAGGAUCUAAAUGCUCACAUGUGCAAGAACAGAGACCAGCUGGCUCAGCUUGGCUGCAAAGUCCAUGAGCCAGGACUGCCCACAGCCUACGCCCUCGCACUGCAGAUACCCUGGAGUCUCCGUGGAGGGAAAAGGUGUGCCUUUGAAGAGAAGAAAAUCCUUUUCUGUUGCAGGAAACUCUCCUGACGGUGUUUUAUUUCCUGACCUGACCUGAGCUGACAGAGGUCAGCAUCACCUGAUGGGGCGAGACUCUACAGCUGGUCAGAGACGACUGCACUCUGGGACCAAAGGUAAGAAAGGGGAGAUGUGUCUCAUUCAGCAGGUUUAUUUUAUCACCUACAGCAGUGGUUCUCAAUUAUUUUCUGUCAUGCCCCCCUCAAGGACA
Molecule: long non-coding RNA, 2153 nt
Organism: Cynoglossus semilaevis (tongue sole)
Lineage: Eukaryota; Metazoa; Chordata; Actinopteri; Pleuronectiformes; Cynoglossidae
Exons: 8
Source: RefSeq, a predicted model, not a curated record